UUUGGGCAUUGUAUAAGAACUGGUCUGCUGAAAUUGAAGCUUGUGACUUGAGAAAAUGUGAAUAUGAGAUAGUGGAAGUCCUCGAGGAAAAAGACUUGGGGAUCAGAGUUUCAUUUUUAGAGCAAGUUGAUGGUUUUAACUCGAUUUUCAAGGCUCAGUUAAAGGAAGCAUCAUCUGUUACAAUGGAGGUUCUCCAUGGUGAGCUGCUUAAAUUCUCCCAUCAGAUUCCUGCCUUUCGACUAACAGAAGAGAGGGGUGGCAGCCUAAGAGGCUUCUGGGAACUUGACCCUUCAGCGCUGCCUGGUCAUUAUUUUGCUAGGAAGUAACAUGACAAGCUUAUAUUCUAAUGCUAUCUAUUUGCUGUUGGACUUUAUAGUAUCACCAGCAUGGUCAUGUUUUGUGAAUGCUGUUUUAGAAAUAGAUUUUGCCUAGAUACAUACUGUGUUCUGGAGUUGCCUCUGAACAUUUCUUUUGGUGUCUGGAGAGAUCUGUACUGGCUCAAACUCUUUUGAUCCCUUCAAUUUUGGCAUGAAGCUUUGGUUGGUUAAGCCACAAAUCAGUGAUGGGAAUGGCAAAUUAGCCAAAGCAUGGAAGUUAGAUUUCUUCACUUUGUUGCUGCGGUAGCAGUCCUAUUUCACUUCACAUUUUCCUGUAAACUCUCACAUUCCAAGUUAUCAUAUUAGCUUUUCUUUAGUUGGAUGUAGAGAUGAAAUGCUAGCAGCUCAUUUACUAUUGUUUCAUUUAAAAAAUAAUUCUAUUUUGGAAGAAUUUUGGUGGGCG
Molecule: unclassified non-coding RNA, 780 nt
Filed under: Hevea brasiliensis (rubber tree)
Lineage: Eukaryota; Viridiplantae; Streptophyta; Magnoliopsida; Malpighiales; Euphorbiaceae
Source: RNAcentral